GAUGAACGCUGGCGGCGUGCCUAAUACAUGCAAGUCGAGCGAACGGACGAGAAGCUUGCUUCUCUGAUGUUAGCGGCGGACGGGGGAGUAACACGUGGAUAACCUACCUAUAAGACUGGGAUAACUUCGGGAAACCGGAGCUAAUACCGGAUAAUAUUUUGAACCGCAUGGUUCAAAAGUGAAAGACGGUCUUGCUGUCACUUAUAGAUGGAUCCGCGCUGCAUUAGCUAGUUGGUAAGGUAACGGCUUACGAAGGCAACGAUGCAUAGCCGACCUGAGAGGGUGAUCGGCCACACUGGAACUGAGACACGGUCCAGACUCCUACGGGAGGCAGCAGUAGGGAAUCUUCCGCAAUGGGCGAAAGCCUGACGGAGCAACGCCGCGUGAGUGAUGAAGGUCUUCGGAUCGUAAAACUCUGUUAUUAGGGAAGAACAUAUGUGUAAGUAACUGUGCACAUCUUGACGGUACCUAAUCAGAAAGCCACGGCUAACUACGUG
Molecule: ribosomal RNA, 497 nt
Filed under: uncultured bacterium
Lineage: Bacteria
Description: partial 16S ribosomal RNA
Rfam family: Bacterial small subunit ribosomal RNA
Source: RNAcentral